GAUGAACGCUGGCGGCGUGCCUAAUACAUGCAAGUCGAGCGAACGGACGAGAAGCUUGCUUCUCUGAUGUUAGCGGCGGAAGGGGGAGUAACACGUGGAUAACCUACCUAUAAGACUGGGAUAACUUCGGGAAACCGUAGCUAAUACCGGAUAAUAUUUUGAACCGCAUGGUUCAAAAGUGAAAGACGGUCUUGCUGUCACUUAUAGAUGGAUCCGCGCUGCAUUAGCUAGUUGGUAAGGUAACGGCUUACCAAGGCAACGAUGCAUAGCCGACCUGAGAGGGUGAUCGGCCACACUGGAACUGAGACACGGUCCAGACUCCUACGGGAAGCAGCAGUAGGGAAUCUUCCGCAAUGGGCGAAAGCCUGACGGAGCAACGCCGCGUGAGUGAUGAAGGUCUUCGGAUCGUAAAACUCUGUUAUUAGGGAAGAACAUAUGUGUAAGUAACUGUGCACAUCUUGACGGUACCUAAUCAGAAAGCCACGGCUAACUACGUG
This 497-nucleotide ribosomal RNA is filed under the name uncultured bacterium. RNAcentral describes it as "partial 16S ribosomal RNA". It matches the Rfam family "Bacterial small subunit ribosomal RNA", at positions 28 to 507 of the family's 1533-position model. The record is from RNAcentral.